CACUCUGGAUUAAUAGAGAGAAAAUUAAAAUGCAUGAAAAAGAAAUUAAAAAAAAUGAGAUGCUGGGGGGUAAGCAAGAAAUAAAGGGGGGUGCAGGAAUUAGAAGAAAGACAGAUUGGGCUUGAAUGAGAUCAGGCGCGUGUGGGCCGGUUUAGGACGGUUCAGACCGGUUCAAAGACUGAACCGGUUCGGCCUGAUACUAUAAAUAGGGAUGGUGCCG
This 220-nucleotide long non-coding RNA is filed under the name Medicago truncatula (barrel medic). RNAcentral describes it as "long non-coding RNA (MTRU_LNC007442)". Lineage: Eukaryota; Viridiplantae; Streptophyta; Magnoliopsida; Fabales; Fabaceae. The record is from RNAcentral.